GAUAUUUCUGGUGAUAUCAGUGGUUUAGUAAGUGAUGCUCAAUCCAUAACAGCGACUUUAGGAGACCUUCCGGAUAUACUUCAAGGAGCGAUGUCCUGUCUGCAAAG
This is a long non-coding RNA of Argiope bruennichi, 107 nucleotides long. RefSeq lists it as uncharacterized. Lineage: Eukaryota; Metazoa; Arthropoda; Arachnida; Araneae; Araneidae. The transcript has 5 exons. The record is from RefSeq and is a predicted model, not a curated record.